AACGAACGCUGGCGGCAUGCCUAACACAUGCAAGUCGAACGGGAUCCAGGCUUCGGUCUGGUGAGAGUGGCGGACGGGUGAGUAACACGUGGGAACCUGCCUUUUGGUUCGGGAUAACCGCGGGAAACUGCGGCUAAUACCGGAUGCUCCCGAGAGGGGAAAGAUUUAUCGCCAGAAGAGGGGCCCGCGUCCGAUUAGGUAGUUGGUGAGGUAAUGGCUCACCAAGCCGACGAUCGGUAGCUGGUCUGAGAGGAUGAUCAGCCACACUGGGACUGGGAUACGGCCCAGACUCCUACGGGAGGCAGCAGUGGGGAAUAUUGGACAAUGGGGCAACCCUGAUCCAGCAAUGCCGCGUGAGUGAUGAAGGCCUUAGGGUUGUAAAGACUCUUUUGUCCAGGGAAGAAUGAUGACUGUACCUGGAGAAUAAGCCCCGGCUAACUACGUGCCAGCAGCC
Molecule: ribosomal RNA, 454 nt
Filed under: uncultured bacterium
Lineage: Bacteria
Description: bacterial SSU rRNA
Rfam family: Bacterial small subunit ribosomal RNA
Source: RNAcentral